Molecule: ribosomal RNA, 458 nt
Filed under: uncultured bacterium
Lineage: Bacteria
Description: partial 16S ribosomal RNA
Rfam family: Bacterial small subunit ribosomal RNA
Source: RNAcentral
CCUACGGGAGGCAGCAGUGGGGAAUAUUGCACAAUGGGGGAAACCCUGAUGCAGCGACGCCGCGUGAGUGAAGAAGUAUUUCUGUAUGUAAAACUCUAUCAGCACGGGGGAAAUAGCAACCUUUGGUUCGCCAGACGGUACCUGGCUAAGAAGCCCCGGCUAACUACGUGCCAGCAGCCGCGGUAAUACGUAGGGGGCAAGCGUUAUCCGGGUUUACUGGGUGUAAAGGGAGCGUAGACGGUAGCAUAAGUCUGAAGUGAAAUGCCGGGGCUUAACCCCGGAACUGCUUUGGAGACUGUGCAGCUAGAGUGCAGGAGAGGUAAGUGGAAUUCAUAGUGUAGCGGUGAAAUGCGUAGAUAUUAGGAGGAACACCAGUGGCGAAGGCGGCUUACUGGACUGUAACUGACGUUGAGGCUCGAAAGCGUGGGGAGCAAACAGGAUGAGAUACCCCGGUAGUC